UGGAUCGUGACUUCAGACAGUGGAAAAGAAAGAGGCAGUGCCUCAUCUACGGCUGAAUGAGGCUGCGAUCAACCCGUCAGAUAAUCAACGUAAAGUGAGGAAAACAACCGAGAGAAACAUUGGGGACCUGUGAUCAUAAUUGUACCACACUCGACCAAAGGUGUAGAGUCCAAAGAAAAAAGAAUUAUGAUUUCAGACUGUGAAGGAAUGAGAAAUCGCUUCGGAGAAGGGGUUGAAUAGAUAAGGAAUCAACAGAGGAAGAAACAGCCGAAUGAGAUUUGUGGAUCACCUUACUUCAUGCAACUAAACACACGUGAUGGACUGAACAUUUUGAUUGCCAGCUCUCUCCUUCAUUCCAAGGCAUGAA
Non-coding RNA from Lepisosteus oculatus (spotted gar), 367 nucleotides. The record is from RefSeq and is a predicted model, not a curated record. NCBI's taxonomy places the organism in Eukaryota, Metazoa, Chordata, Actinopteri, Semionotiformes, Lepisosteidae.